This 504-nucleotide ribosomal RNA is filed under the name uncultured bacterium. RNAcentral's name for it is "partial 16S ribosomal RNA". It matches the Rfam family "Bacterial small subunit ribosomal RNA", at positions 30 to 523 of the family's 1533-position model. The record is from RNAcentral.
AUUGAACGCUGGCGGCAUGCCUUACACAUGCAAGUCGAACGGCAGCAUAGAGAGCUUGCUCUCUGAUGGCGAGUGGCGAACGGGUGAGUAAAGCAUCGGAACGUACCGUGUAGUGGGGGAUAACGUAGCGAAAGUUACGCUAAUACCGCAUACGUACUGAGGUAGAAAGCAGGGGAUCGUAAGACCUUGCGCUAUACGAGCGGCCGAUGUCAGAUUAGCUAGUUGGUAGGGUAAAGGCCUACCAAGGCGACGAUCUGUAGCGGGUCUGAGAGGAUAAUCCGCCACACUGGGACUGAGACACGGCCCAGACUCCUACGGGAGGCAGCAGUGGGGAAUUUUGGACAAUGGGGGCAACCCUGAUCCAGCCAUGCCGCGUGAGUGAAGAAGGCCUUCGGGUUGUAAAGCUCUUUCGGCCGGGAAGAAAUCGCACAAGCUAAUACCCUGUGUGGAUGACGGUACCGGCAUAAGAAGCACCGGCUAACUACGUGCCAGCAGCCGCCGUAA